RNAcentral lists this ribosomal RNA (2552 nucleotides) under Sphaerospora truttae. RNAcentral describes it as "partial 18S ribosomal RNA". It matches the Rfam family "Eukaryotic small subunit ribosomal RNA". Lineage: Eukaryota; Metazoa; Cnidaria; Myxozoa; Bivalvulida; Sphaerosporidae. The record is from RNAcentral.
ACCUGGUUGAUCCUGCCAGUUAUGAUAUGCUUUUCUCAAAGACUAAGCCAUGCAUGCCUAAGUUCAUACCUCUAUAGGGUGAAACUGCGAAUUGCUCAGUAAAUCAGUUAUCGUUUAUUUGAUUGUACCGAAGCCCUUACAGGCUUCACACUGGAUAACUGUGGGAAACUAGAGCUAAUACAUGUCAACUGCUAUCUCGGGGUAGCGUGCAUUUAUUCGCCUAGAAAACCAACGCGUCGUAAGCUAGUCACCAGCAUAAACUCUUGCGACAACGGCUACCACGCUCAUGGUGAUUCUGAAUAACUGAUGCUGAUCGUACAAGGCCUUUCUGUGCCUACGAUAUUUCAAUCAAAUUUCUGCCCUAUCAUACUCGUUGGUAGUGUAGUGGACUACCAAGGUGACGACGGGUAACGGGGAAUCAGGGUUCGAUUCCGGAGAGGGAGCCUGAGAAACGGCUACCACAUCCAAGGAUGGCAGCAGGCGCGCAAACUAUCCAAUCCAGAUAAUGGGAGAUGGUGAAGAGACCAUUAUUGGAACUCAUCGGCUUUGCCGGUCGAGUUACCAGAUAGACCAUAGUCUAAAUACAUAGUGAAAUAAUCAACGGGAGGGCAAGUCUGGUGCCAGCAGCCGCGGUAAUACCAGCUCCCGUGGUGUAUAUGUUUGUUGUUGCGGUUAAAAAGCUCGUAGUUGGAAUACGGUGCGUUCGAAAGAUGGUUCUGAGAUAUGGUUACCGAAUGCGUGUAAUUUGAGAUCGGUCUCAGCCCUUCUUGUGACUGGCUAACACACACUGCUCUCUGAUCUAAGCUUGUGUUAGGGCUUGAGAGAUGUUGACCACUUCAUACUGGGAAACUGGUGUGCAUUGGUCAAAAGAUCAGGAGUCUCAAACUGGGUUUAGCAUCAAGAGUUUGUGGUUUAGGCAGUUAGGAAUAGUGUGUUGUGACCGGUUGCUUUUGUAUCUCUGAAAGGUCAUUAGAGCGUGCUUUCUCGUCGGGCCUCCAUGACAAAAUGACCAAAAGUUAUCUAUCCUUCAGUGGAUACGUGGGACGUCCGGCGACAUGUGCCUUGAGUAAAAUAGAGUGCUCCAAGCAGGCAUGAUUAACGUCAUAGCCCGCAUACUCCAGCCAGGAACGAAUGUUCAAUUGCUUAAACCACCCCACUGGCCUAGUUUGUUGGUUAAACACUGUGUGUGUGGUCAUGCUGCUACUUAAGUUUGCAUGCUCCCGCACACACAGCUAGGUCGUGUCCACAGGAAAGUGUACCCGGUGGCCAAGUCUGGUUGGAACAGAUGGGUGUAGUGGGUGUCCCAUGUGGAUGCUCACCUGCACUCGUCUCCAAGUUGGCUCCGGUGGCCGGGAGUAAUGCACCUCCUGUGUACGGGUAUCGGUUAACAGAGACAUUUGGGGGCAUUAGUAUUUGGUCGCGAGAGGUGAAAUUCAUAGACCGAUCAAAGACUAACAAUUGCGAAAGCAUUUGCCAGAGAUGUUUUCAUUAAUCAAGAACGAAAGUUGGAGGAUCGAUGACGAUUAGAUACCGUCGUAGUUCCAACUGUAAACUAUGCCAACCAGGGCUCAGCCCGGAUCGUCUAUAUUUUUAAUAUGUGGAUCCAGGUUGGACCCCCAGGGAAACCUAAAGUUUUUGGGUUCGGGGGGAGUAUAGUCGCAAGAGUGAAACUUGAAGGAAUUGACGGAAGGGCACCACCAGGAGUGGAGCCUGCGGCCUAAUUUGACUCAACACGGGGAAUCUCACCAGGUCCGGACAUCGGAAGGAUUGACAGACUGACAGAUCUUACAUGAUUCGGUGGAAGGUGGUGCAUGGCCGUUCUUAGUUGGUGGAGUGAUCUGUCAAGUUAAUUCUGAUAACGGGCGCGACUGUGGCCUUUAUUUUGGCCGUAUGAAAGUUUCACCGGUGCCCCACAGGGUUCAUUAAAGUCUUGUGUAACCAAUUGUCCAUGGUGGGGUUUUGCCUUGGUUCCGUGCUGACCUAGCGUAUUCACGGCCAAUGUUAGCUAGCAAUCAGACAGAUGUGCGGUGUGAUGUCGCACACACUGUGGUUGUACUGUUGGCUGUGCGGAAGGUCAGUAUUCUGGGGCGAAGUUUGGCUCUGACAAUGUUACAUAGGAUGGGUUCUGUGGGUCCGGUCUGUGUUCGUGCGCCUUCAUAGAGGGACUACCGGUGGCAAACCGGGGGAAGUACGGCAAUAGCAGGUCAGUGAUGCCCUUAGAUGUUCUGGGCUGCACGCGCGCUACAAUGGUAACGACAGUGAGUUUCUGCGCCGAAAGGUGCGGGUAAUCUUUUCAAUCGUUAUCGCGCUGGGGAUUGAACCUUGAAAUUAUUGUUCAUGAACCUGGAAUUCCUCGUAAGUACGAGUCACCAGCUCGUGCUGAAUACGUCUCUGCCCUUUGUACACACCGCCCGUCGCUACUACCGAUCGAAUGAUUUGGUGAGGACAUGGGAUUGAUCGAUACCAAGUGUAUUGAUCGAGAGCCUGUCCAAGCUGCAUCCCUCAGAGGAAGUAAAAGUCGUAACAAGGUUUCCGUAGGUGAACCAGCGGAA